This 403-nucleotide ribosomal RNA is filed under the name uncultured bacterium. RNAcentral describes it as "partial 16S ribosomal RNA". It matches the Rfam family "Bacterial small subunit ribosomal RNA", at positions 29 to 526 of the family's 1533-position model. The record is from RNAcentral.
AUUGAACGCUGGCGGCAGGCCUAACACAUGCAAGUCGAGCGAGCGGCGGACGGGUGAGUAAUGUAUGGGGACUGCCCGAUAGAGGGGGAAAACUACUGGAAACGUUAGCUAAUACCGCAUACUUUCGGAGAACCCAGAUGGGAUGAGCUAGUUGGCGAGGUAAUGGCCCACCAAGGCGACGAUCCCCAGCUGGGCUGAGAGGAUGAUCAGCCACAAUGGGACUGAGACACGUCACAGACUCCUACGGAGGCAGCAGUGGGGAAGAUUGGGCAAUGGGCGCAAGCCUGACCCAGCAACGCCGCGUGAAGGAAGACGGUCUUCGGAGUGUAAACUUCUUUAGACAGGGACGCGGUACCUGUAGAAUAAGCCACGGCUAACUACGUGCCAGCAGCCGCGGUAAUUC